GGUAUAAACCUAAGAAAAAUGGUUUAGGUUAGAUGGCUGGGUGCAGCGGCUCAUGCCUGUAAUCCCAGUACUUUGGGAGGCUGAGGUGGGAGGAUGACCUGAUGCCAGGAGUUUGAGACCAGACUAGGCAAUAUAGGGAGACCCCUCUCCCCGCACCAAUUUCCAAAAAAAAAAAAAGCAAAGGUUUAAGUUAGAGAAAUCCAGACUUGAAAGUCACCAUCAGCACAGAAGAAUGGUGGAAACAGUGGUAGAAAUUCUGAUGAGAAAUCACCCACAGAAAGGAAGCUGAGUGAGAGGAAAACCAGGACAUUACACCUAUAUGUAAGCAGAGCUCAAAGAAGCCUCUAGAUGAAAAGCUGGAGAAGGCCCAACCCAAGAGGAGACAAGGACUUCAAGGGUGAAUCCUUUCAGAGAAAUACACAUUGCAACAGCAGUUUCUUGAAGUGGUUGGUGCUCUAAACCAAGAACAAAAAUGUUAAUAUAAGGCCUUUAAGUGGAGUCUUACCAAAGCAGGAGAGGUGCUGGCCAGGCUCAUCUCUUCUCUCCCACCCAACUGC
Molecule: non-coding RNA, 557 nt
Filed under: Pongo abelii (Sumatran orangutan)
Lineage: Eukaryota; Metazoa; Chordata; Mammalia; Primates; Hominidae
Source: RNAcentral